CUAGUCUAUCGGUGGAUCACUCGGCUCGU
This 29-nucleotide ribosomal RNA is filed under the name Rotylenchulus reniformis. Its description in RNAcentral is "partial 5.8S ribosomal RNA". Lineage: Eukaryota; Metazoa; Nematoda; Chromadorea; Rhabditida; Hoplolaimidae. The record is from RNAcentral.